RNAcentral lists this ribosomal RNA (449 nucleotides) under uncultured bacterium. RNAcentral's name for it is "partial 16S ribosomal RNA". It matches the Rfam family "Bacterial small subunit ribosomal RNA", at positions 29 to 523 of the family's 1533-position model. The record is from RNAcentral.
AACGAACGCUGGCGGCAUGCCUAACACAUGCAAGUCGAACGAAGCCUUCGGGCUUAGUGGCGCACGGGUGCGUAACGCGUGGGAAUCUGCCCUUUGGUUCGGAAUAACAGUUGGAAACGACUGCUAAUACCGGAUGAUGACGAAAGUCCAAAGAUUUAUCGCCAGAGGAUGAGCCCGCGUAGGAUUAGCUAGUUGGUGUGGUAAAGGCGCACCAAGGCGACGAUCCUUAGCUGGUCUGAGAGGAUGAUCAGCCACACUGGGACUGAGACACGGCCCAGCCUCCUACGGGAGGCAGCAGUGGGGGAAAUUGGACAAUGGGCGAAAGCCUGAUCCAGCAAUGCCGCGUGAGUGAUGAAGGCCCUAGGGUUGUAAAGCUCUUUUACCCGGGAUGAUAAUGACAGUACCGGGAGAAUAAGCCCCGGCUAACUCCGUGCCAGCCGCCGCCGUAA